Molecule: long non-coding RNA, 947 nt
Organism: Cotesia glomerata
Lineage: Eukaryota; Metazoa; Arthropoda; Insecta; Hymenoptera; Braconidae
Exons: 2
Source: RefSeq, a predicted model, not a curated record
UUCAUCUGUAUAUCCUGAAAUUUCGUAUCAUAUAAGCUUUGUUUUCUUUACUGUAUAUCAAUGUUAGUUGAUAAGAAUUGCGUGAGAACGUCGAGUGUAACCUUUUACACUGAAAACCCGUAUCAUUUCCUUCGAUAACAAGGCAUUGAAAUUUAAUAAAUAAAACAUUAGCAUAAUCAAUUGUAGUCUUUUUUUUUGCUAAAUACAAUUUUAGCUACUUUCAUUUUUCCUCAAUCAUUAAUAUUAAAUCGUAAGAAGUAACUGAUAAAAUGUUUCCUUUAUUCUAUCAACGUAAGUUGAUUAUUGAAUUCAAUAAUUACCAGUAUCAUUACUUUAAUGACAACUAAGUAAAUUAUUGACGUUUUUGUUAUCAGUUUCCUAUUAAACUAGCGGUAUGUCAUGCAAUUUACUUAAACCCCGUUAUAACUCAUUCCCUGCAGCACGAAAGCCUAAAAAAUUUUCUAGUGCCAGAGUCAAAGUCAAAUAUUUCCAUAAGCAAUUAACAUCUUUUUUUGUACAUUUAUCCAUUCAUGCAAUCGUGUGUUAAAAUGUUUAAAAUUCAAGAAUUAAAAACAAAGACGGUACUUCUAUUUAUCAUUUUGAUCGUACUCGUCAUUUACUGCAAUGCGCAUCCGCAACCACAAACUUCGAACGACAUUCACAAAAAUGACAAUAUUGAACAAAAGGUUGAAGGCGAAACUGAUAAAAAUCCUGAAAAUACAAAUCUAGUUCAAAAAUUGACGUCGACGGAAGAAUUACCGCUUUUGGUUUCGUUAAUGCAACACCUAGUUCCAAAAGUUCACUUCACUAUUAUCACUAUUUUCUACAAUUUUUUUGUCAAAGUUUUCAAGCAUAUACGCGAUGCACAUAAUGAUGAAUAGCCUAUUAAAGUAGUUGACUGAUUAGUUGACUAAAACAAUUCUAAUUCAUAUUUCGUUGACAAGAUU